CGAAGGGGCGUAGCGUUGUUCGGAGUUUACUUGGGCGUAAAGACGCACGUAGGCGGAUUUUAAAGUUCAGGGGUGGAAAUACCCGGGGCCGUCAACCCCGGAACCUGCCUUUGAUACUGGAAGUCUUGAGUAUGGUAGAGGUGAGUGGAAUUCCGAGUGUAGAGGUGAAAUUCGUAGAUAUUCGGAGGAACACCAGUGGCGAAGGCGGCUCACUGGACCAUUACUGACGCUGAGGUGCGAAAGCGUGGGGAGCAAACAGGAUU
This 263-nucleotide ribosomal RNA is filed under the name uncultured bacterium. RNAcentral describes it as "partial 16S ribosomal RNA". It matches the Rfam family "Bacterial small subunit ribosomal RNA", at positions 526 to 779 of the family's 1533-position model. The record is from RNAcentral.